AAGUCGUAACAAGGUUUCCGUAGGUGAACCUGCGGAAGGAUCAUUAACACGUUUUACCAAAAACGUUUCCAAACAAUUUACCAACCAAACGUGAAUUAACUGUAGGUGCACUACAGUGCAUUAAAAUUGAGCUGAACUUGGCCAAAGAUGAAAGGAAUGGUUGUCAUGACUGCUCCUUUCCAUUCUGGGUUAUCCCAAACGCAGAGGUGGGUGCUGCGGAUCCAGAAUGCUCUUUGUUUUUAAUGCAUGCACCGAUCAUUAUUUUUUUUUCCCCAUCACUUAUUUUUAACUCAAUCACUUCUUGUGAUUUUUUUGAAAUCAUUCCUUUUUCUGGGACGUCUUGUCUCAGUUUUUGUUUGGCGAAAUCUCUGAUUUUGCUUCUAAAACAAAAUUUACUCAAACGUUGAACAACUCUUAGCAACGGAUAUCUUGGUUCCC
This 438-nucleotide unclassified non-coding RNA is filed under the name fungal sp. Its description in RNAcentral is "partial internal transcribed spacer region". The stretch from base 1 to 46 matches the Rfam family "Eukaryotic small subunit ribosomal RNA", at positions 1786 to 1831 of the family's 1831-position model. Lineage: Eukaryota; Fungi. The record is from RNAcentral.